CCUACGGGAGGCAGCAGUGAGGAAUAUUGCACAAUGGGCGAAAGCCUGAUGCAGCGACGCCGCGUGGGUGAAGAAGGUUUUCGGAUCGUAAAACCCUUUUCUGUGUGACGAGCAAGGACGGUAGCACAGGAAUAAGUCUCGGCUAACUACGUGCCAGCAGCCGCGGUAAAACGUAGGAGACAAACGUUAUCCGGAGUUACUGGGCGUAAAGGGCGUGUAGGUGGUUUUGUAAGUCUGGCGUGAAAUAUCUCGGCUUAACCGGGGACAGGUCGUCGGAUACUGCAGAACUAGAGGACGGUAGAGGCGUGUGGAAUUCCGGGUGUAGUGGUGAAAUGCGUAGAGAUCCGGAGGAACACCGGUGGCGAAGGCGACACGCUGGGCCGUACCUGACACUGAGGCGCGAUAGCAUGGGGAGCAAACAGGAUUAGAAACCCUGGUAGUCCAUGCCGUAAACGAUGCUAGCUGGGUGUUCAGUGGGGGAAACCCCACGGGGUACCGAGUCAACACGGUAAGCUAGCCGCCUGGGGAGGUACGGUCGCGAGAUAAACUACGAAGAAGUAGACGCGNGAGACGNGCCGACGGACGACGACGAGGGAGGUUAGG
This 603-nucleotide ribosomal RNA is filed under the name uncultured bacterium. Its description in RNAcentral is "bacterial SSU rRNA". The stretch from base 1 to 522 matches the Rfam family "Bacterial small subunit ribosomal RNA", at positions 338 to 873 of the family's 1533-position model. The record is from RNAcentral.